This 506-nucleotide ribosomal RNA is filed under the name uncultured bacterium. Its description in RNAcentral is "partial 16S ribosomal RNA". It matches the Rfam family "Bacterial small subunit ribosomal RNA", at positions 29 to 523 of the family's 1533-position model. The record is from RNAcentral.
AGUGAACGCUGGCGGUAGGCCUAACACAUGCAAGUCGAACGGCAGCACAGGAGAGCUUGCUCUCUGGGUGGCGAGUGGCGGACGGGUGAGGAAUACAUCGGAAUCUACUUUUUCGUGGGGGAUAACGUAGGGAAACUUACGCUAAUACCGCAUACGACCUACGGGUGAAAGCAGGGGACCUUCGGGCCUUGCGCGAUUGAAUGAGCCGACGUCGGAUUAGCUAGUUGGCGGGGUAAAGGCCCGCCAAGGCGACGAUCCGUAGCUGGUCUGAGAGGAUGAUCAGCCACACUGGAACUGAGACACGGUCCAGACUCCUACGGGAGGCAGCAGUGGGGAAUAUUGGACAAUGGGCGCAAGCCUGAUCCAGCCAUACCGCGUGGGUGAAGAAGGCCUUCGGGUUGUAAAGCCCUUUUGUUGGGAAAGAAAUCCAGCUGGCUAAUACCCGGUUGGGAUGACGGUACCCAAAGAAUAAGCACCGGCUAACUUCGUGCCAGCAGCCGCGGUAA